UACGUAGGGUCCGAGCGUUGUCCGGAAUUACUGGGCGUAAAGAGCUCGUAGGUGGCUUGUCGCGUUGUUCGUGAAAACUCACAGCUCAACUGUGGGCGUGCGGGCGAUACGGGCAGACUGGAGUACUGCAGGGGAGACUGGAAUUCCUGGUGUAGCGGUGGAAUGCGCAGAUAUCAGGAGGAACACCGGUGGCGAAGGCGGGUCUCUGGGCAGUAACUGACGCUGAGGAGCGAAAGCGUGGGGAGCGAACAGG
RNAcentral lists this ribosomal RNA (253 nucleotides) under uncultured bacterium. RNAcentral describes it as "partial 16S ribosomal RNA". It matches the Rfam family "Bacterial small subunit ribosomal RNA", at positions 524 to 776 of the family's 1533-position model. The record is from RNAcentral.